RNAcentral lists this ribosomal RNA (270 nucleotides) under uncultured bacterium. RNAcentral's name for it is "partial 16S ribosomal RNA". It matches the Rfam family "Bacterial small subunit ribosomal RNA", at positions 88 to 354 of the family's 1533-position model. The record is from RNAcentral.
CCGGCGACCGGCGCACGGGUGAGUAACACGUAUGCAACCUGCCCGUGGCAGGGGGAUAAGNGGGGGAAACCCCGUCUAAUACCGCGUAACGCGGCCUAGGGACAUCCCAAGGCCGCCAAAGGGAGCAAUCCCGGCCACGGAUGGCCAUGCGUCGCAUUAGCUAGUCGGCGGGGUAACGGCCCACCGAGGCGACGAUGCGUAGGGGUUCUGAGAGGAAGGUCCCCCACACUGGUACUGAGACACGGACCAGACUCCUACGGGAGGCAGCAG